This is a non-coding RNA of Callithrix jacchus (white-tufted-ear marmoset), 4247 nucleotides long. Lineage: Eukaryota; Metazoa; Chordata; Mammalia; Primates; Cebidae. The record is from RefSeq and is a predicted model, not a curated record.
CUUCCCGGGUGCUAAGUUGUAUCGCGAGAUUUCGGCCUCGCUAUUACCUGGGCCGCGGGGAUUGCUCACCCUUUUUUUCUGCGCGGUUGGAAGACGCAAGGUGGUUCUCGGGAGUUGGAGAACUGAGGUCGGGAUAUUGAAAACUUUAAAACAAAGAACAACUGAUGGAUAAAUCAGGAAUCGAUUCUCUUGACUAUGUGACAUCUGAUGCUAUGGAACCUGCAAAUCAAAGUGAUAACUCUUCUGAUAGCAGCUUAUUUAAAACCCAGUGUGUCCCUUACUCGCCUAAACAGGGGCAAAGAAACCCCAUUAGAAAAUGUGUUCGUACACCUGGAAAUGUUCAAGCAAGUGAUUCAUCAAGUGACUCAUCUUUUGAACCAAUACCAUUGACUAUGAAAGCUAUUUUUGAAAGAUUCAAGAACAGGAAAAAGAAGUACAAAAAAAAGAAAAAGAGGUACCAGCCAACAGGAAGACCAAGGGGAAGACCAGAAGGAAGGAGAAAUCCUUUAUGCUCACUGAUAGACAAGAAGAAAGAGUUUAGAAGCAGAGGACCUGGCUUCCCAUUUUUAGAAUCAGAGAAUGAAAAAAAGGCACCUUGGAAAAAAAUUUUAACAUUUGAGCAAGCUGUUGCAAGAGGAUUUUUUAACUACAUUGAAAAACUGAAGUAUGAACACCAUCUGAAAGAAUCCUUGAAACAAAUGAAUGUUGGUGAAGAUUUAGAAAAUGAAGAUUUUGAUAGUCGUAGAUACAAAUAUUUGGAUGAUGAGGGAUCCAUUUCUCCUAUUGAAGAGUCAACAGCAGAGGAUGAGGAUACAACACACCUUGAAGAUGAUGAAUGUGAUAUCAAAUUGGCAGGGGAUAGUUUCAUAGUAAGUUCUGAAUUCCCUGUAAGACUGAGUGUAUACUUAGAAGAAGAAGAUACUAUUGAAGAAGCUGCUUUGUCUAAAAAGAGAGCUACAAAAGCCAAAAAUACUGGACAGAGAGGCCUGAAAAUGUGACAGAAUCAUUAAUGUCAAAGGCUUUUAUCUUGAGAACAUGAUGUCUGGAGUUAAAGGUACGUCUCAAUUUUAGUUUUUCAGAUUGUAUUCGUUUAUGUGUAGGAAAUCAAUAGUAUGUUGUCAGGGCAAUCAAGUUUCAUUUUAUUCAGAGAAAACUGUAGCAUGCUUCUAAUUCCCAGAUACUGGUUUCUGAAAAGAAAGGAAUCUUAGAUUCACACAUUUUAUAGUGAUGUGUCAGAUUCAUUUUAGUUGCAAGCAUUAGAGGGUCCUGAAUUUGUUAGUUUGUAGCAGUAAUCAGAACUUUGGAUUUCCUACUUGAGGCAUACAGCAUUAUUCUGAAUUAAUGCAUAAUCUAAAAUGAGGUAGAAGAUGUUAUAGUUUAAUGCAAGAUUUAGUAUAAUAGAAAUUGGCUGGGCUCAGUGGCUCAUGCCUGUAAUCCUAGCACUCUGGGAGGCCAAGGUGAUUGGAUCACAAGGUCAGGAGUUUGAGACCAGCCUGACCAAAAAGAUGAAACCCCGUCUCUACUAAAAAUACAAAAAUUAGCCAGGUGUGGUGGCAUGGGCCUGUAAUUCCAGCUACUCAAGAUGGCUGAGGCAGGAGAAUCACUUGAACUUGGGAGGUGGAGGUUGCAGUGAGCCAAGAUCCUGCCAUUGCACUGUAGCCUGAGUGACAAAGCAAGAAUCUGUCUCAAAAAAAUAAUUACACAGGUCAUAAGAAUUCAUAAAUUUGAAUGAUGUAGUUUGAUUAAAAGUUAUAAUGCCAAAGUCAUAAUGUGUACACAUUAUAUUGUAUUUUAUAAUGGAUGACAACUAAUUCUGAGCCAAGAAUUAUAUUUUUAUUUAUCAUUCUGUACUCUGUCCUAUGCAGCUUGGUGAAAAUCCUUACAAUGUGAUUGUGAAAUGAUUGCUUUUCUGAUAAACGUGGUAGGAAGUUUUUGCAGUUUGCAGUAUUGUAAGAGACUGGGGCAUAUUGCAGUUUCUGCUCAUACCUAUGGAGUAGUGUUAGACUUCCGUUAUUUAUACAUAUAUAUAUAUAUACAUAUUAGCUGGGCACAUGGUGCCUAUGGUCUCCAGCUACUCUGGAGGCUAAGGCAGAAUCACUGAGUCCAGGAGUUUGAGACUACAGUGAGAUGUGAUCCUGUAGAUCUCACUGUAGCCUCAAACCUGGGCUCAAAUGAUUCAGCAAGAAUCAGAUGAUUUUUUUAAAAGACAUGGCAGAUAUUGUGUCUUUAAAAAAACUUUGUAUAGUGGUUGAGGUCUAUCCCGAUGGGGCUUUGCAUGUAGCCUGCACGUCGUUGGAAACGCCUCAUAGAGUAACUCUGUGGUGACCUUACUCACAGGACUAUUGUUAGAUCUGUGGAAAGGAAUGGCAAGACAGCUCCUACAAGUUUUAGUUACUACAUGUAUGAAAGACCUGAUAGUCUACUUUUUUACCUUAGGUAUUGGCGUAUUUCCACGCCUGUACUAUUCUUGAGUGUGACUGCUUAGGUAAGUUUUAAUUGGAGACAGUAUCAUCUUGGGAAAUAUGAUUACAGUUCAGAUGAUGAAUUUAACUGUUCAACUGCUGAAUGAUACAGGCAUGAACUAAAACUUAAUUCUGAUAGAGCUGGAUAUGGUUAUAUUAUAAACCUAGAUCUUAAAUUUUUAUUUGGAUUUUAGUUUCAGUAACUAGAAAUGUGGUAUCUUUUCUAAAUCUUUAAUUGGUACUUUCUAUAGGAAUGAAUAUGAUUUGAACUCAUUCAUGUUGAAAGUUUGAGCAACAAUGAGCUUGAUGUGGCCGGGCACAGUGGCUGACACCUGUAACCCCAGCACUUUGGGAGACAGGCGGGCAGAUCAGGAUUUUGAGACCAUCCUUGCUAUCAUGAUGAAACCUUGUCACUAAGUGAGCUUGACGUUUGUAGUAUCUGUUAAGUUACAUGUAUAUAUUCCAUCUGUAAGUUAUAUAGAGAGACUGGGCAAAGAUUAGAGUUGUAGCUUUAAAAUGCAGUUAAUGUAGUUUUCUGUAUUACAGUGACAAUUAGGAAUAAAGGUCAAAAUAUUGAACCUGUUAGGGGAAUCUGAAAUUGAGAAGUUUGGAAAGUGUUUCUCAGCAGCAACACUGCAAAGUUGGGGCUACAAAAGUUGUACAGUUCAGUUAUAAUUGCACUGCAUGGUAUCUGCACUCAGCAGUUUAUUCCUGCUAGGGUGUUCAAAGGUCAGUGCUAUAGAAAUUCAGUAUCUGGCAUCGUUGGUUUUCUUGGCUUUGUGCUUGUUAAACCUGGUAUUUCUAUUGAUACAGUAUUUGUAUAGGUUUCUCAGAGUGUUAAUUUUGAUAUACUCUAAAACAGUAAGCAGCGCUUUUCUUUUUCCAGGGUGUCAAAUUGAGAACCAGGCAGAUCCACCACCUACAAUAAAAAGUUCAACUUCUAGGACCCUAAAGUAAAUUGGUUGAAGAAAGUAGAUCCCAAAGAUUCUUGGUGAAUUUUGAAGUCUUCAUCAGUAUAUCCGUAUUAAAAGGAGAUGACGGAAGCCAAAAUAAAUUAAUGGCAAGUAAUGGUUUUUAUCUUAACCAUAAGCUAUUUGGCCAAGGGCAUAAUGGUCAUUACCAAGGCUUUUAGAAUGCUGUUUCUCAUUUGCUGUGGACAUGACCAUAAAAAAAAAUUCCCAGUAGGUUUUCUAUCUGCUACCUUGCUAGCAAUCAGCCUCUUGGGAACAUUUGAUUAACUGUAAUAGAAAUGCAAUACAAGUAUAAUGUGAGCUAUGUGUGUUGUUGUUUUUUUUUCCCCUAAUAUCAAUGACAUUUUAAAAUUCUUUAGGCGGUGCAGCCUAGAUCUCUUGAAUCAUGCAAAUGUGCUUUGCCCCUCUGUAUUGUAACCCUUGUGGGUUGCUAAUAAUUAAGCAGUUCGUAUGUAGCAGUUAGCUUAGGCUGGUUCUAGGACGCAUUCAUGUUCAUUCACUGUACAAUCAUCUCUGGAAAUGUAAAAUUCACUUUUAUUACUAUUUAGGGCUGACAGGACAACUGGAUUAAAGCAAGCAUCAGCUUCAUUAAAAAGGGCUAACUUGCAGCUCUUUAGAGGAUCUAAAGUGACUUUGAUGGACAGUGGAAGAAACCACAACAUGGAAUUCUUUGAAUAAAAAUUUAUUGACUUUAAAUAUACACAAUUUAAAAAAAACUGUUUACACUUUCUAAAAGUCAGCAUGUAUUUUUGGCUCGAAGUUUCUCUAAUGUUUUCUGUGGAAGGAAUAAAAAUUUCACAGUUUUAGUUGUGUA